GAUGAACGCUGGCGGCGUGCCUAAUACAUGCAAGUCGAGCGAACGGACGAGAAGCUUGCUUCUCUGAUGUUAGCGGCGGACGGGUGAGUAACACGUGGAUAACCUACCUAUAAGACUGGGAUAACUUCGGGAAACCGGAGCUAAUACCGGAUAAUAUUUUGAACCGCAUGGUUCAAAAGUGAAAGACGGUCUUGCUGUCACUUAUAGAUGGAUCCGCGCUGCAUUAGCUAGUUGGUAAGGUAACGGCGUACCAAGGCAACGAUGCAUAGCCGACCUGAGAGGGUGAUCGGCCACACUGGAACUGAGACACGGUCCAGACUCCUACGGGAGGCAGCAGUAGGGAAUCUUCCGCAAUGGGCGAAAGCCUGACGGAGCAACGCCGCGUGAGUGAUGAAGGUCUUCGGAUCGUAAAACUCUGUUAUUAGGGAAGAAAAUAUGUGUAAGUAACUGUGCACAUCUUGACGGUACCUAAUCAGAAAGCCACGGCUAACUACGUG
This 497-nucleotide ribosomal RNA is filed under the name uncultured bacterium. RNAcentral describes it as "partial 16S ribosomal RNA". It matches the Rfam family "Bacterial small subunit ribosomal RNA", at positions 28 to 507 of the family's 1533-position model. The record is from RNAcentral.